UUGGUCUAACGAAAGUAUAGCUCACAGCAACAUCCAACACACUGCCUAACCACAAUAUUUACAAUAUAUACACGAGUUAAACAAGCAUCUGGGGCUAGCUGUUAGCAUUACCAUUCUAACAAGCAGACUAAUACUAAUAUGCAUUUAUAUUGUAAUUAUAAAAAAAUGUUCCGACUGUCUCAGAAGCUGCAAUACAGCAGGUGCCGAAUGUACGAGCUUUCCGUAUGAUUUUAUUAAUGGCAUCUUGUGUCAGUCGUCCGGGGAGCAAGUAUCUGAAGCUGCCAUUGAUGACUAGCUCUUCCCGGAGCUCCAGAAUUGUUGCCGAGGUCAUACGGAUUCCACUCUGCACUGGCUUCCAUCCAGGCUUUUGGAAGAUAAAAAUCGGAACAACAUGGAAGGAACUGGUACCCGGUUGGAAGGGAGAUUGUGGUCCGUGACGAUAUAAUGUGGCAGAAAGAAGAUCCACUAUUCUGCAUGAAAUGCUCCACAUGAUGUUGCCAGGAACUGAUCCAUCGGUGAAGUAGUAAGAGAGAUACAACACAAUAAGAACAAGUUUAUGACCCGAUUAUCACGUCUUAAUCAUGACCUCACAGGCUCACCACAUGUGGAAAUCUGUAAGGGCAACUCCACUUUCUUGUAAAUAAUUAAAAUUUUGUUGUCACUUUUAUGGUGAUAAUUAUAUUUAUAGAAAUUUCCCAAAUGGCUUCAAACAUGUCCGUCAAAUUAGUCACGUGUUAUAUUAUCAUAAAACUUACCGACCACCUGUUUCCAUUUAGUGGAAAGUCCCUUUAGCAAGUAACACAAUGCAUGGCUCGCAGGCCUAUCCUUCUUUGCG
This is a long non-coding RNA of Priapulus caudatus, 835 nucleotides long. RefSeq lists it as uncharacterized. NCBI's taxonomy places the organism in Eukaryota, Metazoa, Priapulida, Priapulimorpha, Priapulimorphida, Priapulidae. The transcript has 4 exons. The record is from RefSeq and is a predicted model, not a curated record.